AAUAUAUGUAUGCAUCACAAUCACAAGGAAUACCAAAUACCAAAACUUAAUUUAAAAAAUGGUGGUGAAUGGUAGUUAGAGGAUGUCCAUAUCCUUUUCGUGAGCGAUCGAUCCAUUAAAAGAGAUGAUAUAUUUGCAUGUUCAACGACAAUCAGGGAGUAAUUCUUUUUAGAAUUCUUUCGUUAUGAUCAACAAAAGGAUGAUAUGAUAUUUUUAAAUCACUCUUUGAUGUAGGGCAUGUGUCCUUGUAAUAAGAGAAUAGUAAAUGUCACAUGUGAUUAUGACUAUUAUAUAAUUACCAUCAUGUAACUUAGAAUGAUUUAUAGAAAAAUUAUAGAAAAUAACACCCUCUUUCGUCGUAAGCAAAGAUAAAAAAAAAAUGUUUGUUGGGAAAGAGAUGAUAUCCGCCUUUAAAGAGGAAAAUUAAUAUGAGAAGAUAUUUUUAACUUUA
Molecule: long non-coding RNA, 451 nt
Organism: Cicer arietinum (chickpea)
Lineage: Eukaryota; Viridiplantae; Streptophyta; Magnoliopsida; Fabales; Fabaceae
Source: RefSeq, a predicted model, not a curated record